CGGGGCGUAGCUCAGUCUGGUAGAGUGCUUGCUUUGGGAGCAAGAUGUCGAAGGUUCGAACCCUUUCGCCCCGACCA
Molecule: transfer RNA, 77 nt
Filed under: Alphaproteobacteria bacterium
Lineage: Bacteria; Pseudomonadati; Pseudomonadota; Alphaproteobacteria
Description: tRNA-Pro
Rfam family: tRNA
About the family: Transfer RNA (tRNA) molecules are approximately 80 nucleotides in length. Their secondary structure includes four short double-helical elements and three loops (D, anti-codon, and T loops).
Source: RNAcentral